RNAcentral lists this ribosomal RNA (538 nucleotides) under uncultured bacterium. Its description in RNAcentral is "bacterial SSU rRNA". It matches the Rfam family "Bacterial small subunit ribosomal RNA", at positions 8 to 590 of the family's 1533-position model. The record is from RNAcentral.
AGAGUUUGAUCCUGGCUCAGAGCGAACGCUGGCGGCAGGCCUAACACAUGCAAGUCGAGCGGCCGUAGCAAUACGGCAGCGGCAGACGGGAGAGUAACACGUGGGAACGCGCCCUUUGGUUCGGAAUAACUCAGGGAAACUUGAGCUAAUACCGGAUAAGCCCUAACGGGGAAAGAUUUAUCGCCGAAGGAACGGCCCGCGUCCGAUUAGCUAGUUGGUGAGGUAAUGGCUCACCAAGGCGACGAUCGGUAGCUGGUCUGAGAGGAUGACCAGCCUCACUGGGACUGAGACACGGCCCAGACUCCUACGGGAGGCAGCAGUGGGGAAUAUUGGACAAUGGGCGCAAGCCUGAUCCAGCCAUGCCGCGUGAGUGAUGAAGGCCUUAGGGUUGUAAAGCUCUUUUAGCAGGGAAGAUAAUGACGGUACCCGCAGAAGAAGCCCCGGCUAACUUCGUGCCAGCAGCCGCGGUAAUACGAAGGGGGCUAGCGUUGCUCGGAAUCACUGGGCGUAAAGCGCACGUAGGCGGAUUGUUAAGUCA